This 433-nucleotide ribosomal RNA is filed under the name uncultured bacterium. Its description in RNAcentral is "partial 16S ribosomal RNA". It matches the Rfam family "Bacterial small subunit ribosomal RNA", at positions 29 to 507 of the family's 1533-position model. The record is from RNAcentral.
AACGAACGCUGGCGGCAUGCCUAACACAUGCAAGUCGAACGAGACCUUCGGGUCUAGUGGCGCACGGGUGCGUAACGCGUGGGAACCUGCCCUUAGGUUCGGAAUAACUCCCCGAAAGGGGUGCUAAUACCGGAUAAUGUCUUCGGACCAAAGAUUUAUCGCCUUUGGAUGGGCCCGCGUUGGAUUAGCUAGUUGGUAGGGUAAAAGCCUACCAAGGCGACGAUCCAUAGCUGGUCUGAGAGGAUGAUCAGCCACACUGGGACUGAGACACGGCCCAGACUCCUACGGGAGGCAGCAGUGGGGAAUAUUGGACAAUGGGCGAAGGCCUGAUCCAGCAAUGCCGCGUGAGUGAUGAAGGCCGUAGGGUUGUAAAGCUCUUUUAGACGGGAUGAUAAUGACAGUACCGGGAGAAUAAGCACCGGCUAACUCCGUG